This 1237-nucleotide long non-coding RNA is filed under the name Homo sapiens (human). RNAcentral describes it as "non-protein coding LINC01268:6". The record is from RNAcentral. Lineage: Eukaryota; Metazoa; Chordata; Mammalia; Primates; Hominidae.
AGUGUCUCGGGCUCAGGCUGAAAGAGACUGGCAGCUUUCACUUCCUGUCUUUUGAAAGUCUCUUGAACUUCGGACCUGGGGGAAGCCAGCUGCCGAGUGAGAAGUCUGACUAUCCGGAGAUGGCGGUGAGUAUAGAGAAUUUCUGCUAGGUCUCCUGUGUUUCAGCCAUCCCAGCCCAGGCACCACGACACAUUAUCAAAGGACUAUCUUGGACCUUCUCAUCCCAGCAAACAUCCAAUGGAGAAGAAUGAAGACUCCAGGCAUAUGAUCCCACUCUAGCCAUCCCAGGAGCCCCCAGCUAUCCAAACAACUACAGCUGUGGCCAAAAACAUCGUGUAUCAGGGACAAACUCUCUGCUUAUGGCUGCUCUAAUCCUUGACCUACAGAAUCAUGAAAUUUGUGGAUACGGUCAUGAUCUUGAUUUUGGCGAUGGUUUCACAGGUCAGAUGUACGUGAUGGUUACCAUUAUAACUACAUACUAUGAAAGAUUAAUCAGUGGAAAAAAACAAGUUAAAGACACACAAAAAACUUCAGAGAAUCAACUUCUGGUCAAAAAAGCCCUCCUUUAGCCAACUCUAAACCUCAUUCAACCAAUAUUCUCUAUAGUCUUAGAAAGCAUUCAGAAGACAUAAUAUUUUUUAAGGACUUCAAGCAGCAAAUGGCAGAAGUGACAAGAAUUGAAAAUAGAGGAAAAUUUUGUUUUGUUUAAAGAAUUCUAAUUUUAAUAAUGGGAAGUAUGCAUCCAUAUUUAUGCCAGAUUCAUAUAUAUGAAAUAUAUAUAUAUAUAUAUAUAUAUAUAUUUCAUGUAAAUGUACUUUUGCUAAUGAAAUAGGAAUUCAGGACAAUAAGAAGGUCUAGAGGAAGCACCCUUUAUGAGUAAUUGGUUUCAAUGUUCGUAUUCUUGAUCUAAACAAUAAAAAAUCAAAACUGCAUUUUCUCAAUGAAUAUGUUUUUCUCUGUUUUAAGUCUCAAGAAGUUAUGGUAGAAAUGCUUUACAGAAAAUAUUUUUCAAGCCCGGCAUGGUGGCUCAUGCCUGUAAUCCCAGCACUUUGGGAGACUGAGGCAGGCAGAUCACUUGAGGUCAGGAGUUCAAGACCAGCCUUUCCAACAUGGUGAGAACUUGUCUCUACUAAAAAUAAAAAAAAAAAUUAGCCUGGCAUGGUGAUGCACACCUGUAAUCCCAGCUACUUGGGAGGCCGAGGCACGAGAAUCACUUGAACCCAGGAGGUGGAGGUUG